GAUGAACGCUGGCGGCGUGCCUAAUACAUGCAAGUCGAGCGAACAGAUGAGGAGCUUGCUCCUCUGACGUUAGCGGCGGACGGGUGAGUAACACGUGGAUAACCUACCUAUAAGACUGGGAUAACUUCGGGAAACCGGAGCUAAUACCGGAUAAUAUAUUGAACCGCAUGGUCCAAUAGUGAAAGACGGUUUUGCUGUCACUUAUAGAUGGAUCCGCGCCGCAUUAGCUAGUUGGUAAGGUAACGGCUUACCAAGGCAACGAUGCGUAGCCGACCUGAGAGGGUGAUCGGCCACACUGGAACUGAGACACGGUCCAGACUCCUACGGGAGGCAGCAGUAGGGAAUCUUCCGCAAUGGGCGAAAGCCUGACGGAGCAACGCCGCGUGAGUGAUGAAGGUCUUCGGAUCGUAAAACUCUGUUAUUAGGGAAGAACAAAUGUGUAAGUAACUAUGCACGUCUUGACGGUACCUAAUCAGAAAGCCACGGCUAACUACGUG
Molecule: ribosomal RNA, 497 nt
Filed under: uncultured bacterium
Lineage: Bacteria
Description: partial 16S ribosomal RNA
Rfam family: Bacterial small subunit ribosomal RNA
Source: RNAcentral